Equus caballus (horse) is the source of this 4563-nucleotide long non-coding RNA. RefSeq lists it as uncharacterized. The record is from RefSeq and is a predicted model, not a curated record. NCBI's taxonomy places the organism in Eukaryota, Metazoa, Chordata, Mammalia, Perissodactyla, Equidae.
UUCUGGCAAUAAAGUAAAGGAAGAGGAGGCAUUAGCAGACACAACGAGCACAGAAUCAAAGUGAGCUCCACCAGCAGACAUGAGGGGCUUGGACGGAAACUUCCGGAAGUUUGGUUCACUGUCAUGUGAGUUUGCUGCCACAGACAGAGCUUUCCAUCUCCCAGCCGCUCCCAGGACUGGCCACGUGUUUUGCGGGCACAGUUUCACUCCCUGUUGGAGCCCAGAGGGCUGGCCAUCCUCCCACCUCUUCACCAGAGCGCGAUUCGUGGAUUCCACGCCUACCUGCCGAGUAUUCACGCCUUACAGAGUGAAUGCAACCAGCGCAGACCCUCCGAGCCGCAGGUGAACAGAGGGAGCCAGCCCUGCUCCUAGAAUUGCUGGCAGCCUACGCUGCAACGUGACGGAACCGAAAGGGAUCCCGAAGGUGAGAGAAGAGGAACAAGCAGUGUAAUAACAGAUGUCACCGGGCCUGCCACAAUCAGGGCCUGGUCGGGUCUGUGGGUGGGCCUGGCGGGGCUCAGAACCAAUAGGAAUGCGGUGGGAAUGUGGGGUUUAGUAAGAAGUCGCCCUUACACACUGUGGGAGGGGCUGGGGAAGCCAAGGACCCCGGGAGGAGUUGGAGGGUCAAAGGGUCACUGAGUAAACCUGAAGCUUGGGCAAGGACAAGCAAGCACAGCCAGCUGCCGAGGUGGGGCCACCAAGGGCGAGUCACGGCAAGGCUGAUGGGAUGCUGUCAGCAGGACCAGCAACCAGGCGACAGCGGGAUGCGGAGCAGAGGAGAGAAGAAGCUGGGACCCCCGGGCACCUCUGCUCUGUCCCCCACUGACGAGGCCGCUUACUAUUCUGACCACGAUUACCUUCUGUGCCUCCCACAAACUCCUCUUGUAGGAUUGUCAUAUAAAAUUCAGGAUGUCCCAUUAAAUUUGAAUUACAGAUCAACAGUGGAUAAUCUUGUAGCAUAGUAAGUCCCAAGCAAUAUCGGAGACAUACUGAGAAACUGUUUGCUAUUGAUGUGAAAUUCAAAUUUAACUGGGAGUCCUAUUACUUUAUUUGCUAAAUCUUUGGCCAGCUCCUGCCAGAACUUUCCAAGGAAAGGGGAAUCCAGACAGGGUCCUGCCCCCAGGAGUUGACAGUAGCAAUGGCUACCACGAUGGAGGGCCUCCCGCACACCAAGUCCUGCACACACAGCACCUCAUCUAUCCCCCACAGCCCAGGAGGACAGCUUUUACUCCCACUGCACUGCAGAUAAGGAAACUGAGGUUCAGGAAGAACACACAAUUGACUAAACAUUUUAUGGGUGGGGAUAACAGUAAUAGCUAGCACUUAAGCAGCACUUACAACGUCAGGCUCAGCUCUAAGAGGUCUGUGCAUAAGGUCCCACUUAACCCUUUUUAACAAGUCUGUGAGGAACUGUUGUUGGACCCAUUUCACAGGUAAGGAAAUAAAGUCACGUUAAUAGUAGGUGGCCUGGUCAGGAUUCGAACCACUGCGACUCCAGUCCGUGCUCUUCCCCAUCAUCGUAAACCACCGCUGAGCCACUACCUACACCACCUCCUGCUCUUGGCGAAGCAGUAUUCACCCACAGGAAGCUCACAGGGCCCAGGUGGCAGGUGUCGUCCAGAGCUCACUGGGGUGCAGUGAAGUGGACUGAGCUGACAACGUUGGAGGUAGAAAUCACUGUGAUCGAGGGGUUCUGAGGGAGGGUUCAGGAGGCAGAUAGGUGCGAGACCUGAACACUUGGGACAGCAAAGGGCAAGUCCACAGCCGUGUCAGGAACUGUGAACAUGUGAAGUAAGUAUCACCGAGCACUGAGCACUUCACAGGGGCCAGGUGCUGCCCUAGCAUUGAAAUGACCAUCCUCGGUCCUCCCAGUCACCCCCCAGAGGACUGUCCCCAUCUUACAAACUAGAAAUCAGGGGUUCAGAAGGGCCACGCAGCUUGCUGAGGUCACCCCACCAGGAAGAGGCAGGAUGGGAACUGUACAGGUGACCCCCAUGCCAGCUGGCGCAGCUUCCAGGCCACCUUCCUUCCACUUGCUUGCAAGGAUUCACAUCCUUAGAUUCAAGGCAGGGAGGCAGGUGCACUACAGCCGGAUCAGAUGAAAUGGAUGUCAUCGCUGCUUCCAGAGGUGACAGAGAGACGGGGUUUGCUCUGAGCAAGGCAGGCUUCAUCUCAGAUCCUGCAAACACUCUCCCUGGCCGCUGAGCAGCCUUCUGCUCAAGGAGGCGGAGGACAGCUGAGCCGCCCGCCCUGGGCAGGGAGAGCUGCCGUCCCGUCCUCAGGCAGAGAGCUCAUCUGAUGGAGAAAACUCCGGCUGAGGCUUCCAUCCGGGGAGAAUGGAGGAGGAUAGCAGAAAUGGACUCCUCCUCCCGGGGACCACCUUGACACCGUGCCUGCUGUGCACAACUUCAUCCGUCCUUUUCCUGUGAAUCUACAGGUUUUCCAAGAAUUCUCCAGUGGGUGCUUCAGAGUUUCCGCCGCAGGGGUGGAGAGCCUGAGGUUCUCAUCCAGAUUUGCCAGCGGGGCAAUUUGAUGAAUCUCUCUUUCAGCUUCUGAAAACGUUCUAGGGGGGAGACGCAGAAAAGAUUACAGGAAAAGUGAAUGAGGGGAGUCUGGACAGGACCUGCCACCAGGAACAGAGGAUGGACGGGCCUGCUGGGCAAGGCCACCCAAACCCAUGAUGACGAGGGUCACUCUACAUUAUGCAUUAGAAUUAGGACAGGGUUGGCAUUCAAUUGUGACUCGGAAGGGUUAUUGGGGUCACCAUGAAGCUGGGUUUCUGGGAAGGAAUCACACCGGGAAGAUACAGACCUGCUGUCCAGGACCCACUGAGGACCCUCCCUGUGUGGCUGUAUCUUUUGGCUCCUUUGCGUCCAUCAGCCCUCGGCUCAAGGCGACUGGAGAGGUCCUGUAUGAAGAGCUCAGACUGGCCAGUGCACUACCCAGUUACGUUAUCGACUAGAAGCCUGUCACUUCCGUCACAGGCCUUCUCUGUGCUCUUUCCAGAAGGGAAAUCACAGUCAAGGCCAGCCCAGAGUGGAAAGUCAGACAGACACGCAGACGGAGUCAAACCAGCUCUCAGAUCCCGGAGUCACUGAUAGAAACUAACACAGCAACAAGAACGUUAGCGCGUAUACAAGGACAGCCUUGGCCCCUUGGUGUCCGCACUGUGACAGAUUUUAACCUUUCGCUGGAUGAGUUUGGAAUUUUUGAAUUUUGAUUAAGUUUGUAUUCCAUUUGAAAUAAGAAAAAAGAUCUUUUUUAAUGUAAAAAAAAAAAAGGAAAGAAAAAGAUACUGAGGGCAGCAAUUGCCGAAGCUUACCAGUGAGGUACAUACUUAAUGUCAUUUCGCCUAAAAAGCACACAACACUCUCUUUUUUACUAAAUUAUGACUCCCUUAGUGAAAAAACACGGAAGCACGUCGCAGGCGGGACACUGAGCUGGAGUCCUUUCAGGGCCGUGGGAACGUGGCAUCGAAUCCAUUUCUCCCUGUUGAAGGAGGUUUUUCUCGUUCUCUGGUUUAAAAUAACUCGGUGGAUGGUACUUAAUUUCGGGAAUUGUUCUAGGCAUGUGUUUUCCCAGCAGGACACAGAAAGCGAUGCCCCCAGAGGUGGGCGGGGGGCCUUGAGAACUUGGCUCUGCCCCAGCGUGCAGUCACUUCUGGAAGGUUUCUCGGCUGGGGCCCAUUGUCCUGACUUACUGGUUCUACACCCCGCAGAGGAAAAUCGCUGUUAAUACCGUCUUCAGGUCGAUGCAGGACGAGCAGCCCCCUCCAGACGCCACUUACAGGCAAUCCUCGUUCAAAAGAAAGAUCGCGGAGGGUGGACGUGCCCCAGGCAGAGGAGCAUGGGGAAGGGACUUCCCUCGGUGAGCGAGGGCAGCUCAUUCAGUCAUCACUACCCAGUUCCUGAAGCCGACAACUAAAGCCGACACGCAGACGACCGAGAAAGAGCAGGUGGGGGGACCCUGAUAGAAAGCAAGUCUCAUCAACGGGCUCGCCCUGGCCCUACACCUCGCUAGCUGCCCUUCCUCCCUCUGCCGUCUGUCACCUGCACGGCCACCACCUUCAUCCCUGGCCUGCAUCACUAGAGAGAGGGCAGCCGCCUCCCGCCUGGCCUCCUGCUCCACUCUGGGCCCAGAGAGAUUGUUUUACUGUUGGUCAGGUGCAAACAGCCCAAAUGUCCAUAACCGGCUGACUGGAUAGACAAAAUGUGGUCUGUGCACACGAUGGAGUAUUAUUCAGUCGUAAAAAGGGAAGAGGUUCUGACAUGCGACACGAUGGAUAAACCUUGAAAACAUUGUGCUAAAUAAAAGAAGCCAGUCACGAAGGACCCCAUAUUGUACGAUUCCGUUUAUGUGAAAUGUCUGGAAUAGGCAAAUCCACAGGGACAGAAAGUAGCGUAGUGGUUACCAGGGGCUGGGGGAGGGAGGAAUGGGAGGGACUGCUCAAUGGGUUAGGGGCUUCUUUUGGGGGUGAUGAAAACAUUCUGGAAUUAGACGGUGGAGACGGCUACACAACAUUGUGAACUGUACACUUGAAAAAGAUUAAAACAGUGAAUCUUA